Molecule: long non-coding RNA, 297 nt
Filed under: Gossypium barbadense (sea-island cotton)
Lineage: Eukaryota; Viridiplantae; Streptophyta; Magnoliopsida; Malvales; Malvaceae
Description: long non-coding RNA (GBAR_LNC021494)
Source: RNAcentral
UAAUACAUUGGUCACAUGGUAAAUUUUGUUUUUUUUACUUUUAAUUAAAGUUAGAGACAUCUCUAUAAUUAGUUCAAAACACUUAUUUUUUGUUUAUUUGCGACAUAAGAACCACUAAUCCUCAUCACUACCCAACACCCACUACCAGCCCCAUCUCAAUCGCUCCUUACUUUUCUUCCUUUAACAUUGAACUUGAGAAAACCCGACCGAGGAGAUCUCCAUUGCAGUACAUUUCCUCCCCCUCACUUAUCUUCCUUUGUGGAUAGAAUUGGUUAUUCUUAUGGUGGGUGUUGGGUG